UAAUACGAAGGGGGCUAGCGUUGUUCGGAAUUACUGGGCGUAAAGCGCAUGUAGGCGGGUCUUUAAGUCAGGGGUGAAAUGCCAAGGCUCAACCUUGGAACUGCCUUUGAUACUGGAGAUCUUGAGUCCGGGAGAGGUGAGUGGAACUGCGAGUGUAGAGGUGAAAUUCGUAGAUAUUCGCAAGAACACCAGUGGCGAAGGCGGCUCACUGGCCCGGUACUGACGCUGAGAUGCGAAAGCGUGGGGAGCAAACAGGAUUAGAUACCCUGGUAGUCCACGCUGUAAACGAUGGAUGCUAGCCGUUAGGCAGCUUGCUGCUUAGUGGCGCAGUUAACACUUUAAGCAUCCCGCCUGGGGAGUACGGUCGCAAGAUUA
Molecule: ribosomal RNA, 375 nt
Filed under: uncultured bacterium
Lineage: Bacteria
Description: bacterial SSU rRNA
Rfam family: Bacterial small subunit ribosomal RNA
Source: RNAcentral